UGGGGAAUCUUGCACAAUGGGGGAAACCCUGAUGCAGCGACGCCGCGUGAGCGAUGAAGUCCUUCGGGGCGUAAAGCUCUUUCAGUGGGAACGAUAAUGACGGUACCCACAGAAGAAGCUGCGGCUAACUACGUGCCAGCAGCCGCGGUAAUACGUAGGCAGCGAGCGUUGUUCGGAGUUACUGGGCGUAAAGAGUGCGUAGGCGGUUCCGUAAGUCUGGUGUGAAAUCUCCUGGCUCAACUGGGAGGGUGCGCCGGAAACUGCGGAGCUUGAGCACGGGAGAGGAAAGCGGAAUUCCUGGUGUAGCGGUGAAAUGCGUAGAUAUCAGGAGGAACACCGGUGGUGUAGACGGCUUUCUGGACCGUUGCUGACGCUGAGGCACGAAAGCGUGGGGAGCAAACAGGAUUAGAUACCCUGGUAGUCCACGCCCUAAACGAUGCAUACUUGGUGUGGGCACUUCAGUGUGUCCGUGCCGGAGCUAACGCGUUAAGUAUGCCGCCUGGGGAGUACGGUCGCAAGGCUG
RNAcentral lists this ribosomal RNA (523 nucleotides) under uncultured bacterium. Its description in RNAcentral is "bacterial SSU rRNA". It matches the Rfam family "Bacterial small subunit ribosomal RNA", at positions 355 to 896 of the family's 1533-position model. The record is from RNAcentral.